This 832-nucleotide long non-coding RNA is filed under the name Phascolarctos cinereus (koala). RNAcentral describes it as "lncRNA (ENSPCIG00000026070.2)". The record is from RNAcentral. Lineage: Eukaryota; Metazoa; Chordata; Mammalia; Diprotodontia; Phascolarctidae.
AUCACAGCAAGAUUUUAAUGUGCCUGUGACUAAAUUAGUUCAACUCCAAUAAUUUGAACAUGGAGCUGGAACUCAAACCCAGGCCUCCAAAAGAUUAGUAUGAAAGUGAACGAUUUCAAAAUUCAAGAUCUUUCACUCUAAUCCUACACCCAAGUCACUCAGAACUAAUCCUACUCUGGAAUGUCAGUGUAGUCUUCCCAGAAAUCUUGGCUGCCAUAUAGAAAUGUGAAAUAUUUAAAUUUAAAUCACAUACCCCAUCCAGUGUUAGAAAUGUCUGUACUAUAAUUUCAACCGACAGCUCAUCAGUUAGCAGGAUAACUGGAUUCUGUGCCUUGUCAGAGUUCAUUUCAGGGCUGGCCAUUUUCAUUAUCAAAGCAAUUGAUUUAAGCGACAAUCGCUUAUUAGCAGGAUGAAAAUGCCAGAGCUUGAAGAGGCUUCUUCCAUUUCCUGAGAGGCCAAGUGAUUUUCUUCACAAACUUGAUGUGACAUUCGAGGACUGGAAUUAUACAUCCAGACCAGGAUGUUCCUGCCGAGUUGCUGCAGUUCAUGGGCACCAGACGACAAGAGGAUUUGAACAUGAUGACAAGUUUAGCAAAGGCUGAAUUCUUUUCGAUAUCUUCUGAAUAAUUCCUGAUGCCAUUGGGUGGGCAAAGCUUUGAUAAAAACAAGAAGAGCAAGAAAGAGAUAUAUCUGUUGCUGCCUUCAAGACUGAUCUACUGUUUCUCUCAGGGUAAGGAAAUUGUGCUUUUUUCAUUGACUAUACUGGAGAUGAAGGUGUUGGGAAAUUUUCAUGGAUAGAUAUACAGAUAUGGAUGAAGAUAUAGAUAUAUAG